CAUCGCCGCGGGAAUACAGAGGGUGCGAGCGUUAAUCGGAUUUACUGGGCGUAAAGCGUGCGUAGGCGGCUUCUUAAGUCGGAUGUGAAAUCCCUGAGCUUAACUUAGGAAUUGCAUUCGAUACUGGGAAGCUAGAGUAUGGGAGAGGAUGGUAGAAUUCCAGGUGUAGCGGUGAAAUGCGUAGAGAUCUGGAGGAAUACCGAUGGCGAAGGCAGCCAUCUGGCCUAAUACUGACGCUGAGGUACGAAAGCAUGGGGAGCAAACAGGAUUAGAUACCCCCGUAGUCCCUGUCUCUUAUACC
This 301-nucleotide ribosomal RNA is filed under the name uncultured bacterium. RNAcentral's name for it is "partial 16S ribosomal RNA". It matches the Rfam family "Bacterial small subunit ribosomal RNA", at positions 512 to 808 of the family's 1533-position model. The record is from RNAcentral.